RNAcentral lists this ribosomal RNA (468 nucleotides) under uncultured bacterium. RNAcentral's name for it is "partial 16S ribosomal RNA". It matches the Rfam family "Bacterial small subunit ribosomal RNA", at positions 28 to 507 of the family's 1533-position model. The record is from RNAcentral.
GACGAACACUGGCGGCGUGCUUAACACAUGCAAGUCGAACGGAAAGGCCCUGCUUUUGUGGGGUGCUCGAGUGGCGAACGGGUGAGUAACACGUGAGUAACCUGCCCUUGACUUUGGGAUAACUUCAGGAAACUGGGGCUAAUACCGGAUAGGAGCUCCUGCUGCAUGGUGGGGGUUGGAAAGUUUCGGCGGUUGGGGAUGGACUCGCGGCUUAUCAGCUUGUUGGUGGGGUAGUGGCUUACCAAGGCUUUGACGGGUAGCCGGCCUGAGAGGGUGACCGGCCACAUUGGGGCUGAGAUACGGCCCAGACUCCUACGGGAGGCAGCAGUGGGGAAUAUUGCACAAUGGGCGGAAGCCUGAUGCAGCAACGCCGCGUGCGGGAUGACGGCCUUCGGGUUGUAAACCGCUUUCGCCUGUGACGAAGCGUGAGUGACGGUAAUGGGUAAAGAAGCACCGGCUAACUACGUG